Molecule: ribosomal RNA, 270 nt
Filed under: uncultured bacterium
Lineage: Bacteria
Description: partial 16S ribosomal RNA
Rfam family: Bacterial small subunit ribosomal RNA
Source: RNAcentral
AACGAACGCUGGCGGCAGGCCUAACACAUGCAAGUCGAGCGCCCAGCAAUGGGAGCGGCGGACGGGUGAGUAACGCGUGGGAAUUUUUCCUGGAGUACGGAACAACCGAGGGAAACUUCGGCUAAUACCGUAUGAUGCCGAGAGGCCAAAGAUUUAUCGCUCUGGGGUGAGCCCGCGUCAGAUUAGGUAGUUGGUGGGGUAAUGGCCUACCAAGCCUGCGAUCUGUAGCUGGUCUGAGAGGACGAUCAGCCACACUGGGACUGAGACACG